GUAACUUUUGCACACGGUGUCCCUUUUGGGCCCAUAAGUACUUUUUGGAAAUGUAGCGACCCUUUCGGAUUGAACUCACCAUUUCGUCGUGACGUAUGACGGAUUUCGACCAUUUUUUGAAAGAAUUAGCACUUUUAUACUUGGAAGGCUUGGAUAGUCGGCGUACGAAGAAUUGAGGGUACCUUUUGCACACGGUGUCCGUUUUAGGCCCAUAAGUACUUUUUGGAAAUGAAGCGACCCUUUUGGAUCGAACUCACUACUUCAUCGUGACGUAUGAGGGAUUUU
RNAcentral lists this long non-coding RNA (285 nucleotides) under Olea europaea subsp. europaea. Lineage: Eukaryota; Viridiplantae; Streptophyta; Magnoliopsida; Lamiales; Oleaceae. The record is from RNAcentral.